Molecule: non-coding RNA, 21 nt
Filed under: Caenorhabditis elegans
Lineage: Eukaryota; Metazoa; Nematoda; Chromadorea; Rhabditida; Rhabditidae
Source: RNAcentral
UAAUGAAUUUUCUGAAUAUUC